RNAcentral lists this ribosomal RNA (305 nucleotides) under uncultured bacterium. RNAcentral describes it as "bacterial SSU rRNA". It matches the Rfam family "Bacterial small subunit ribosomal RNA", at positions 337 to 640 of the family's 1533-position model. The record is from RNAcentral.
CCCUACGGGACGCAGCAGUGAGGAAUAUUGGUCAAUGGGCGCGAGCCUGAACCAGCCAAGUCGCGUGAGGGAAGACGGUCCUAUGGAUUGUAAACCUCUUUUGUCGGGGAGCAAAAGACGCCACGCGUGGCGUUCCGAGAGUACCCGAAGAAAAAGCAUCGGCUAACUCCGUGCCAGCAGCCGCGGUAAUACGGAGGAUGCGAGCGUUAUCCGGAUUUAUUGGGUUUAAAGGGUGCGCAGGCGGAAGAUCAAGUCAGCGGUAAAAUUGAGAGGCUCAACCUCUUCAAGCCGUUGAAACUGGUUUU